Long non-coding RNA from Xiphophorus hellerii (green swordtail), 976 nucleotides. RefSeq lists it as uncharacterized. The transcript is spliced from 2 exons. NCBI's taxonomy places the organism in Eukaryota, Metazoa, Chordata, Actinopteri, Cyprinodontiformes, Poeciliidae. The record is from RefSeq and is a predicted model, not a curated record.
UUUUACUUUAUCAGCUUAAAUUUAAUUAUUCAUAGCGUAUUUUAAAUUUAGUUAUUGUGAUACUAUACUGUAUAUAUGAUACUGCAUUGGAAAUACACUAACACUCAGGACAAACUGAAAAUGUUGUUUAUAAUUUAGAUUUAUUUACACUUCGUUUAAAAUUUAAUAAUGUCAAACUUCAUAACAAUCUUAGGAGAGCCUGCUAACACUGUAAUUUUAAAUGUGGGCAGAAUUGAGAAGGAAAAAAUAUCCUAAUAGAAUGAUUUAUUAUGAAGUUAAGUCAGAGCCAGACUGAGGUUAUACAGGAAACUGGGCAGAAUUUGAUUUGAAAGACCCCUCCCAGUUAAUUAGUAAUAUUAUUAUAACUCUUAGAGUUUUUAUUCUGUGAAGAGAUAGGAUUUUCCAGGAGGCUGAAGUGAGCAGCUGAUCAGACCGAUCCUCUUUAGAUAUAAGCUAACUUCAGCAACAUUAUGGAUAACCAGAAACAUGAGAGGAAUCACUCUCUGUGAACAAGAAGAAAUCUUCAACAGAACCAGAACGACUGUCUGCUGGGAUCAGGAGAAGCACUGAGUUUCUUCAAUGAAAAGAAAAACAGAGACAAUUCAAAGUUGAUAGUAACACUGUUUUCAACCAAAGCUGCAGAUCAGAGGAACAUAGAGGAGUCCAGGAACCUUGACGUUUAUCCUGGAGCGAUGCCCAGAAUCGGCCCCAGGAACCUGAACUGUGUGGGCGCUAAGACUCCACAGUGGGAUUUCAGUGAUUUCACCGUGUUUUCAGGCAUGUGGGCUGCAUCAUGUGUGAAGAAGCAGCUGCCAUGGAAACCACCUAAAUACCUUCUCCCCUGACAGACCUUUGACCUUCUCCUGUCUGAUGAAGAUGAUGCUGGAAGCUGAGCUCCAAAAAACAUCAUUGAACAUUAUGUUUAAUAUGAAUUUAGUCUGGGCUCAAGAAAAGCAUUAAAAAGGAAUAAAUACUA